GACGAACGCUGGCGGUGUGCUUAACACAUGCAAGUCGAACGGUAAGGCCCUUCGGGGUAAACGAGUGGCGAACGGGUGAGUAACACGUGGGUGAUCUGCCCUGCACUUCGGGAUAAGCCAGGGAAACUGGGUCUAAUACCGGAUAGGACUCCGGACUGCAUGGUCUGGGGGGGAUAGCGUGUUCAGUGUGGGAUGGGCGCGCGGCCUAUCAGCUUGUUGGGGGGGUGAUGGCCUACCAAGGCGGCGACGGGUAGCCGGCCUGAGGGGGUGACCGGCCACACUGGGACUGAGAUACGGCCCAGACUCCUACGGGAGGCAGCAGUGGGGAAUAUUGCACAAUGGGCGCAAGCCUGAUGCAGCGACGCCGCGUGAGUGAUGACGGCCUUCGGGUUGUAAACCUCUUUCAGCACCGACGAAGCGCAAGUGACGGUAGGUGCAGAAGAAGGACCGGCCAACUACGUGCCAGCCGCCGCAGUAA
RNAcentral lists this ribosomal RNA (478 nucleotides) under uncultured bacterium. Its description in RNAcentral is "partial 16S ribosomal RNA". It matches the Rfam family "Bacterial small subunit ribosomal RNA", at positions 28 to 523 of the family's 1533-position model. The record is from RNAcentral.